Molecule: ribosomal RNA, 757 nt
Filed under: Saccharomycetales sp. LM342
Lineage: Eukaryota; Fungi; Ascomycota; Saccharomycetes; Saccharomycetales
Description: eukaryotic LSU rRNA
Rfam family: Eukaryotic small subunit ribosomal RNA (bases 1-356)
Source: RNAcentral
CUAAGAGUUCGGGCCGCACGCGCGCUACACUGACGGAGCCAGCGAGUCUACCUUGGCCGAGAGGCCCGGGAAAAUCUUGUGAAACUCCGUCGUGCUGGGGAUAGAGCAUUGCAAUUUUUGCUCUUCAACGAGGAAUUCCUAGUAAGCGCAAGUCAUCAGCUUGCGUUGAUUACGUCCCUGCCCUUUGUACACACCGCCCGUCGCUACUACCGAUUGAAUGGCUUAGUGAGGCAUCGGGAUGGAAAGAAAAGAGGGGCAACCCUCUCUUCUGUCUAAAACUUUGUCAAACUUGGUCAUUUAGAGGAAGUAAAAGUCGUAACAAGGUUUCCGUAGGUGAACCUGCGGAAGGAUCAUUAACAUUAAUUUACUACACACUGUUUUUUUACAACAAAACAAAUCUAUCUAAAAACAAUUCUUUACAAGAAAUUCUUAAAACUUUCAACAACGGAUCUCUUGGUUCUCGCAUCGAUGAAGAACGCAGCGAAAUGCGAUACGUAAUACGAAUCGCAGCUCUCGGAAUCAUCGAAUCUUUGAACGCACAUUGCACCAUUGGGUAUUCCCAAUGGUAUGCUUGUUUGAGCGAAUACUUCCCUAAUCCUCACGGAUUGUAUUGUGUUUGCACGAAAAUAAUGACGACAGUACUCUACAAAACGGUACCGUCAGUACACUCAUUUUUUUUCCUCAAAUCAAGUAGGACUACCCGCUGACUUAAGCAUAUCAAUAAGCGGAGGAAAAGAAACCCACAGGGAUGGCCUCA